AAGGAGGUUAAAAUCAAGGUAAACAUAGACUCAAUAAAGAUGGGACAGUAUAUAAGUGCCAAAUGAAUAGAAGUGACAGUAAAAGUAAUAUAUGUGGCCUUGCCUCCAUUGCUGCUGCUGUCCGCAGUUCCAGGCAGCUCUCUGUAGGGGGUCCCACAUAUGGGGACCAAAGAAGGGCAAGGCACGGGCCUUCUGGGUGCAGCCUUGGAUCUGACA
This 216-nucleotide small nucleolar RNA is filed under the name Dasypus novemcinctus (nine-banded armadillo). The record is from RNAcentral. Lineage: Eukaryota; Metazoa; Chordata; Mammalia; Cingulata; Dasypodidae.